UGACAUGUGACUGUGACAAAGUUGUUUGAUUGGUUGAAAGUUCCUAUCUGUGGUUUUAGUCUUUGUUUCUUUGUGUUUCGGUACAUUUGAAUUUCGACGUCAUUGAAGCAGGAGCUAUGUCUUCGAAUUCAUCUGUCACCAUAUAGAGUCGUAUUCCUGUAUUGUUCACAUCUGUUGUGCGGUAUAUGACGAUCAUGGGAGUGAGCAUUGUUUAGCCUCACGUUGAUGCACUAUACGUGUUAACGUGGGUUUUUGAGUAAUAAUAAAACCUUUGAAAUCAAACGAA
This is a long non-coding RNA of Pecten maximus, 286 nucleotides long. RefSeq lists it as uncharacterized. NCBI's taxonomy places the organism in Eukaryota, Metazoa, Mollusca, Bivalvia, Pectinida, Pectinidae. The transcript has 3 exons. The record is from RefSeq and is a predicted model, not a curated record.